Molecule: transfer RNA, 85 nt
Filed under: Felis catus (domestic cat)
Lineage: Eukaryota; Metazoa; Chordata; Mammalia; Carnivora; Felidae
Rfam family: tRNA
About the family: Transfer RNA (tRNA) molecules are approximately 80 nucleotides in length. Their secondary structure includes four short double-helical elements and three loops (D, anti-codon, and T loops). Further hydrogen bonds mediate the characteristic L-shaped molecular structure. tRNAs have two regions of fundamental functional importance: the anti-codon, which is responsible for specific mRNA codon recognition, and the 3' end, to which the tRNAs corresponding amino acid is attached (by aminoacyl-tRNA synthetases). tRNAs cope with the degeneracy of the genetic code in two manners: having more than one tRNA (with a specific anti-codon) for a particular amino acid; and 'wobble' base-pairing, i.e. permitting non-standard base-pairing at the 3rd anti-codon position.
Source: Rfam by way of RNAcentral
ACCUGGGUGGCUCAGUCGGUUGAGCAUCUGACUUAGGCUCAGGUCAUGAUCUCACAGUUCGUGGGUUCAAGCCCCUCAUCAGGCU